This 422-nucleotide ribosomal RNA is filed under the name uncultured bacterium. RNAcentral's name for it is "bacterial SSU rRNA". It matches the Rfam family "Bacterial small subunit ribosomal RNA", at positions 102 to 520 of the family's 1533-position model. The record is from RNAcentral.
ACGGGUGAGUAACGCGUAGGAAUCUACCUUGUAGUGGGGGAUAACUUGGGGAAACCCAAGCUAAUACCGCAUGAGCCCUAAGGGGGAAAGCAGGGGACCGAAAGGCCUUGUGCUAUGAGAUGAGCCUGCGUCGGAUUAGCUAGUUGGUGGGGUAAAGGCCUACCAAGGCGAUGAUCCGUAGCUGGUCUGAGAGGACGACCAGCCACACUGGGACUGAGACACGGCCCAGACUCCUACGGGAGGCAGCAGUGGGGAAUAUUGGACAAUGGGCGCAAGCCUGAUCCAGCAAUGCCGCGUGUGUGAAGAAGGCCUGCGGGUUGUAAAGCACUUUCAGUGGGGAAGAAGGCCUUGGAGUUAAUAACUCUGAGGAUUGACAUUACCCACAGAAGAAGCACCGGCUAACUCUGUGCCAGCAGCCGCGG